AGAUGGGCUUGCGCCUGAUUAGCUAGUUGGUGGGGUAACGGCCUACCAAGGCGACGAUCAGUAGCCGAACUGAGAGGUUGAACGGCCACAUUGGGACUGAGACACGGCCCAAACUCCUACGGGAGGCAGCAGUGGGGGAUAUUGGACAAUGGGGGAAACCCUGAUCCAGCGACGCCGCGUGAGUGAAGAAGUAUUUCGGUAUGUAAGGCUCUAUCAGCAGGGAAGAAAGAAAUGACGGUACCUGAGUAAGAAGCCCCGGCUAACUACGUGCCAGCAGCCGCGGUAAUACGUAGGGGGCAAGCGUUAUCCGGAAUUACUGGGUGUAAAGGGAGCGUAGACGGUAAUGCAAGUCUGGAGUGAAAGGCGGGGGCCCAACCCCCGGACUGCUCUGGAAACUGUGUAACUGGAGUGCAGGAGAGGCAGGCGGAAUUCCUAGUGUAGCGGUGAAAUGCGUAGAUAUUAGGAGGAACACCAGUGGCGAAGGCGGCCUGCUGGACUGUAACUGACGUUGAGGCUCGAAAGCGUGGGGAGCAAACAGGAUUAGAUACCCUGGUAGUCCACGCCGUAAACGAUGAUUACUAGGUGUGGGUGGGUAUGGACCCAUCGGUGCCGCAGCAUACGCAGUAAGUAAUCCACCUGGGGAGUACGUUCGCAA
Molecule: ribosomal RNA, 655 nt
Filed under: uncultured bacterium
Lineage: Bacteria
Description: bacterial SSU rRNA
Rfam family: Bacterial small subunit ribosomal RNA
Source: RNAcentral